This 425-nucleotide ribosomal RNA is filed under the name uncultured bacterium. RNAcentral's name for it is "partial 16S ribosomal RNA". It matches the Rfam family "Bacterial small subunit ribosomal RNA", at positions 354 to 796 of the family's 1533-position model. The record is from RNAcentral.
GUUAGGAAUAUUGGACAAUGGGCGCAAGCCUGAUCCAGCCAUGCCGCGUGAGUGAUGAAGGCCUUCGGGUUGUAAAGCUCUUUAGUCCACGAAUAUAAUGACUGUAGUGGAAGAAUAAGCCCCGGCUAACUUCGUGCCAGCAGCCGCGGUAAUACGAAGGGGGCGAGCGUUAUUCGGAAUCACUGGGCGUAAAGCGUGCGUAGGCUGUUUUGUAAGUCAGAAGUGAAAGCCCAGGGCUUAACCCUGGAAUUGCUUUUGAAACUACAAGACUCGAAUUCGGGAGAGGAUAGCGGAAUUGUCAGUGUAGCAGUGAAAUGCGUAGAUAUUGACAGGAACACCAGUGGCGCAAGCGGCUAUCUGGACCGAUAUUGACGCUGAGGCACGAAAGCGUGGGGAGCAAACAGGAUUAGAAACCCCAGUAGUCC